RNAcentral lists this long non-coding RNA (338 nucleotides) under Olea europaea subsp. europaea. The record is from RNAcentral. Lineage: Eukaryota; Viridiplantae; Streptophyta; Magnoliopsida; Lamiales; Oleaceae.
UGAUGCAGUUGCCAAGUGACGUUUAUAAUAUUUUCUUGGUCGAUGAUUUGUAAUCACGAAGGAUUUUGCUUUAUAUUCUUUCCUUUCUUCUACCAAUUGUGAAAGCAAAUGUUAAAAUAUGUGAAGUCUUAUUUCUGUUGACGAAUCAUUACGUGGCUUAAAUGUACAACGCACAUAGUGUCGGUAUUGCAGAUGUACUUUGCCUAGCUAUUCAAUCAUUUUUACGUAUCAGAGCCAUUUCUUUAGGUCAGUGUUUAUGAUUCUACAUUUUGUAUGAGAGUAUUAUUUUGCAAUGUUUUUUUUGGACUACUCCAGCAAUCAUCCAAAAUUGCUUGCGC